CCCUUAGAUGCUCUGGGCCGCACGCGCGCUACACUGGUCGAUGCAACGAGUUUCUUUCCUUGGCCGACAGGCCUGGGCAAUCUUUGAACAUCGAUCGUGAUCGGGAUAGAUUCUUGUAAUUUUUGAUCUUAAACGAGGAAUUCCUAGUAAACGCAAGUCAUCAGCUUGCAUUGAUUACGUCCCUGCCCUUUGUACACACCGCCCGUCGCACCUACCGAUUGAAUGGUCCGGUGAAGACUCGAGAUUGUGGUCUAGCUCCUUCAUUGGGGCUUGACCGCGAGAACCUGUCUAAACCUUAUCAUUUAGAGGAAGGUGAAGUCGUAACA
RNAcentral lists this ribosomal RNA (326 nucleotides) under uncultured eukaryote. RNAcentral describes it as "partial 18S ribosomal RNA". It matches the Rfam family "Eukaryotic small subunit ribosomal RNA", at positions 1470 to 1796 of the family's 1831-position model. The record is from RNAcentral.